Long non-coding RNA from Aquila chrysaetos chrysaetos, 683 nucleotides. RefSeq lists it as uncharacterized. The transcript has 4 exons. NCBI's taxonomy places the organism in Eukaryota, Metazoa, Chordata, Aves, Accipitriformes, Accipitridae. The record is from RefSeq and is a predicted model, not a curated record.
ACUAGCACUAAGAAUCAUUCCUGUUGACUCUCACUGGCUUCAUUUGAUCAAAUAGCUUAAAAGGCUUCAGUGCAGAAAGGAAUAAUGAUUUAUAUUUGUGCUGAUACAGUUAUAUUUCUUUAAUUUCUUACCCUUAAUUAUGAAAAGAAAGAAGUCAGUCUUCAUCUAGUAACUUCACUGUAAAACAGGCUUGGAUCAGUUAGUCCUUUCUCAGUAUUCUCUCUUCGAGCUGCUGGACAACAUUGUGAUGAAAAAUGCCACAGGAAACUUCACUCUUUUCUGGGUGAGCAGACCUCUACAGAUGUCUCAUCCAGAGAUUUAUGAAUUCACCUUCAUAGAAGAGAUGCAAGAAAAGGCAACUAAGUCUGAAAGCUAUGUGAACACCUGGAUCAUGCCAGUUCUUCCUGAAUAACUGCAGGAAAAGAUUGACUUUGGCUUAAAGACCCAUGUUACUAAAAUGGAUCUACAGAGAAGAAUAUUCAUCCCUCAAGAAAGCAUGGACAUUUUACCAGUGUAGUAGAAUACAGCAAGCAGCAUCAUGCAUUCUCUCCAAGCUUUAAGAAAUAACAUCAGAGUUGCACUAAAUUUGAAAUAGAGAAGAAAGUAUGGUGGUCUAUACAAUGUCCCAGAUCUUUAAAACAGGGAACUAAACAGCUUUGUGCUGCUGACAGUUAACAAGAAAC